This 1519-nucleotide long non-coding RNA is filed under the name Homo sapiens (human). Its description in RNAcentral is "HSALNT0158535". The record is from RNAcentral. Lineage: Eukaryota; Metazoa; Chordata; Mammalia; Primates; Hominidae.
AGAGAUCACUAGCUGCUGCGUGUUCCCUGUCAGCAAAUGUCAUAGGGGUCAAUUCCCUAUGGAUGCUUUUAGCGAUGACACUUAGGUUAGACAGGGAGGAGUCAACCCAGCCUCCCAUUCUCUUCCCGGAUCCUGGUCCUUCUUUUCACUGCAUAGAAGCAGGAAGAGAACAGAAGCUGUCACAAAUCAGUCCCCACUGAGGAUUCAAAGCCUCGUGUCUGGACUCCCAUCGAAGCUGUCUUCAAAGAUGCCAAACAGCACAGUGACAACAUCUGCCUUCUUGUCCAGUGGAAGACUCUGAAACACCGAGCUGUGAACAGAGUCUUUUAAACCUCCUUUAGAAGACAGGUAGCAGAGAAGCAAGCUCAGGUGUCAGCUGCAAAUGGCCUUUUUCUUCAAAGAGUUGUUUAGACUUGAGUUCUUUUCUGAAAUUGGAGUGCAAAAGUUCAGAGUUCUACUAUGAUUCUCCAAUCGUUCAUUAGUAUUCCUGGCCUGUCCUAUAAUUACGAGAGUCUUUGACUUUUCACCUGUAAUAACGCAUUGUCCUGGGGACAUGGAUGCCCUCACACUCUUACUUCCUUCGAUCAACACAUGUAUAUGUGACACAGACCAGCAGAAAAAGGACUGGGCCAAUGUAACGAUCUCAAACAGGUUCAAACCUGCCCCCAGGGCUGUGUCAGCGCCAUGCUCUAGCUUAAAGAGCAAAAUUAAGUCAUAAGCUAAGACAAAGGGCAUAAAGUAGACAGGGUCUCUCUGACUUCUCAGACUUUGCAAUUCAGGAUAGACAAUCAAAUGAGGCUUUUUCUCACAACUCCCUCAAACACACACACACACACACAAACCUGUGAGUUCCAAAGUGCAAAGGAAUCCGUCUGGAAUAGCCUAAGGAAGAAUGUUCAUUCCACUCCUCUCCCUGGCAUAACUACUGCCCAACGGGGGAAGCAGCCCUGCCCAAUGAUCAGGCCUCAGGCUCUGUGGCCAGGCAGGAUGCAGGCAUCCCAACUCUAGCACCCACUCGUAGGGUAACUGGGUUGGGAUUUCUGAACCUUGACUUCCUCAUCUAGACAAUGGACACAAGAGUGUACUAGCUCAGAGGGCUGGUGGUGAGAUUAAGUAAGACAAGAUGAUAACAUGCAGCACCCCAGAGCGAUGGCUCAGGGUGUGAUAUGGUUUGAAUCUGUGCCCCCACCCAAAUCUCAUGUUCAAGUGUAAUCCCCAGUGUUGGAGGUGGGGCCUGGUGGGAGGUGGUUGGAUCAUGAGGGCUGUUUCUCAUGGAUGAUUUAGCACCAUCCUCUUGAUGCUCUCAUCACAAUAGUGAGAGUUCUCAUGAUGAGAUCUGGUUGUUUAAGAGUGCAGCACCUCCGCCCUGACUCUCUGGCUCCUGCUCCUGCCAUGUGAGACUCUCCUCCCACCAUGGCUGCAAGCUUCCUGAGGCCUCCCCAGAACCUGAGCAGAUGCCAGCAUCAUGCUUCCUGUUACAGCCUGUGGAACAAUGAGCCAAUUAAACCUCUCUUCUUUA